GUCUUUUUGAUUAUAAUAUAAAGUCUGACCUGCCCACUGAUAUUAAUUAAAGGGCCGCGGUAUAUUGACUGUGCAAAGGUAGCAUAAUCAUUUGUCUCUUAAUUGGAGGCUGGAAUGAAUGGUUGAAUGAAAUAUUAACUGUCUCAAUUUUAAAAAUAUAAAAAUUUAGCUUUUAAGUUAAAAGGCUUAAAUUAAUUUAAAGGACGAGAAGACCCUAUAGAUCUUUAUAAUUUAAUUAUAUUAUAAUAUAGUUAAAUAUUUAUUAAUAUAAUAAAAAUUAUUUUAUUGGGGUGAUAGGAAAAUUAAAUAAACUUUUUUUAAAUUUAAACAUUGAUUUAUGAAUAAUUGAUCCAUUAAUAAUGAUUAUAAGAUUAAGUUACCUUAGGGAUAACAGCGUAAUUUUUUUAAAGAGUUCAUAUCGAUAAAAAAGAUUGCGACCUCGAUGUUGAAUUAAAGUUAUUUUCAGAUGUAGAAGUUUGAAUAAUAGGUCUGUUCGACCUUUAAAUCUUU
This 510-nucleotide ribosomal RNA is filed under the name Leucochrysa varia. RNAcentral's name for it is "partial 16S ribosomal RNA". It matches the Rfam family "Bacterial large subunit ribosomal RNA", at positions 1819 to 2597 of the family's 2925-position model. The record is from RNAcentral. Lineage: Eukaryota; Metazoa; Arthropoda; Insecta; Neuroptera; Chrysopidae.